GACAAACUGGGGGAAGUCCUAUUAUCAAAAAGCUCUGAGCUAACGGCGUAUUACAUUUGAAUAUUGUGCAAUGUGAACUCCCGCCGAGCUGUUGAACUAAGAAAUGCUGGUGGCUGCACAGUACUCUGCAUGACACUUCACUAGAGGAAAUGUAAUGUGUAACUAUGGAAACCUUCAAACCACUGACUGCAAGUUCCUGGGGGAGAGAAAGGGAUGGAAUUAUACUGGCCUGCAGAUUCAUCACAGCUCACAAAUGCUAGGACAACUUUCCAGGGAAGACUGUUUUACUGGUGACUUUUGUUUAUUUUUAAAUUAACAUAAAAUGGCUGCACAUGUCUGAACCCUGCUUCAGUUCAAAGCUUAGGUUGGUGACUACAAAUGAAUCAUGAGCGGUCAAAUCCUGCCUCCGCUCCUGCAUAAGAACCUCCAUUGGAGCACACCACAUCCUCUUUUAUGGAGGGUGCUCUUUCCAGACCUGCAAGAGGGUGCUUCUGAGACUGCAGCAUAAGCUGGAACUGAGCAAGCCACCAGAAGGCUGUGGGACAUUUUCAUGAUGGAAAACGCAGCAGGUACUACAGUGCUCAGUGUGGUGAUUACCUGGACAGAGAGAUUGAAAAUAGGGCCAAGUGACUUUGGUUUCUAUAGUUUGGCUCCCUUUCUUUGAAUCAGAAAAAACAGCUAAAAGAG
This is a long non-coding RNA of Mauremys reevesii (Reeves's turtle), 687 nucleotides long. RefSeq lists it as uncharacterized. The record is from RefSeq and is a predicted model, not a curated record. Lineage: Eukaryota; Metazoa; Chordata; Testudines; Geoemydidae. The transcript is spliced from 4 exons.